GCAGUAUACUUCACAUCAAGUGUCUUGCUUGCCAAAUAUUAAAUAGAAUUCCAACUGGAAAAAGAUGACAAAAUGGAGUAUGGGAUGUAAACUCAAAACUGGGAGCUGCUGUUUUAUAUACUGGAAUUGGAGAAACAACAGUGAACAGAUUUUUGGCAGCACUGAACUUGCCCAAUAUUGACCUUAAAACAUUAAAGAAAAGAGAGAGAGAGACUGGUGUAGCAUUUGAAGAAGUAGCGGAAAUAACAUGUCAGGAAGCAAUUGAAAAAGAGAAAGACAGCUGUAAAGAACAAGAAACCGUUUCAUAGGAUGCAGGUUGGCAAACAAAGGGAAGUGGAAGAAACUAUGCCAGCUUAUCAAGACAUGGAAGGAU
Molecule: long non-coding RNA, 373 nt
Organism: Saccostrea echinata
Lineage: Eukaryota; Metazoa; Mollusca; Bivalvia; Ostreida; Ostreidae
Exons: 4
Source: RefSeq, a predicted model, not a curated record